AUAUAAUUGCCCAUGUUCCGAAAAAACAACAGACGUUGUCCUUUUUAUCGUAGAGCCGUUCCCCUGUUCUCGAAAAUGACCUCUGAGUUUCUUGCAAGAAGCGGGAAUUGCUUAGCAAUAGAGUUUAAUGGGGUCCGUGUUGAUCAAGUAUCGUUGGUUUUAUAUGUUACACUGUCAUUGUUAUGUUUUAUUUUGUUGUCAACGGGUCAGAAAUUGUUUCGCUGUUUCUUUUUUCCUUGACAAAU
RNAcentral lists this long non-coding RNA (245 nucleotides) under Mytilus galloprovincialis (Mediterranean mussel). Lineage: Eukaryota; Metazoa; Mollusca; Bivalvia; Mytilida; Mytilidae. The record is from RNAcentral.